GUGAGCGCUGGCGGUAGGCCUAACACAUGCAAGUCGAACGGCAGCACAGUAAGAGCUUGCUCUUACGGGUGGCGAGUGGCGGACGGGUGAGGAAUACAUCGGAAUCUACUUUUUCGUGGGGGAUAACGUAGGGAAACUUACGCUAAUACCGCAUACGACCUACGGGUGAAAGCAGGGGAUCUUCGGACCUUGCGCGAUUGAAUGAGCCGAUGUCGGAUUAGCUAGUUGGCGGGGUAAAGGCCCACCAAGGCGACGAUCCGUAGCUGGUCUGAGAGGAUGAUCAGCCACACUGGAACUGAGACACGGUCCAGACUCCUACGGGAGGCAGCAGUGGGGAAUAUUGGACAAUGGGCGCAAGCCUGAUCCGGCCAUACCGCGUGGGUGAAGAAGGCCUUCGGGUUGUAAAGCCCUUUUGUUGGGAAAGAAAAGCAGCAGGUUAAUACCCCGCUGUUCUGACGGUACCCAAAGAAUAAGCACCGGCUAACUUCGUG
RNAcentral lists this ribosomal RNA (491 nucleotides) under uncultured bacterium. Its description in RNAcentral is "partial 16S ribosomal RNA". It matches the Rfam family "Bacterial small subunit ribosomal RNA", at positions 29 to 507 of the family's 1533-position model. The record is from RNAcentral.